CCUACGGGUGGCUGCAGUGGGGAAUAUUGCACAAUGGGCGCAAGCCUGAUGCAGCCAUGCCGCGUGUGUGAAGAAGGCCUUCGGGUUGUAAAGCACUUUCAGCGGGGAGGAAGGCGGUGAGGUUAAUAACCUCAUCGAUUGACGUUACCCGCAGAAGAAGCACCGGCUAACUCCGUGCCAGCAGCCGCGGUAAUACGGAGGGUGCAAGCGUUAAUCGGAAUUACUGGGCGUAAAGCGCACGCAGGCGGUCUGUCGAGUCGGAUGUGAAAUCCCCGGGCUCAACCUGGGAACUGCAUUCGAAACUGGCAGGCUAGAGUCUUGUAGAGGGGGGUAGAAUUCCAGGUGUAGCGGUGAAAUGCGUAGAGAUCUGGAGGAAUACCGGUGGCGAAGGCGGCCCCCUGGACAAAGACUGACGCUCAGGUGCGAAAGCGUGGGGAGCAAACAGGAUUAGAUACCCCUGUAGUC
This 465-nucleotide ribosomal RNA is filed under the name uncultured Klebsiella sp. RNAcentral describes it as "bacterial SSU rRNA". It matches the Rfam family "Bacterial small subunit ribosomal RNA", at positions 338 to 795 of the family's 1533-position model. The record is from RNAcentral. Lineage: Bacteria; Pseudomonadati; Pseudomonadota; Gammaproteobacteria; Enterobacterales; Enterobacteriaceae.